RNAcentral lists this ribosomal RNA (718 nucleotides) under uncultured bacterium. Its description in RNAcentral is "bacterial SSU rRNA". It matches the Rfam family "Bacterial small subunit ribosomal RNA", at positions 60 to 797 of the family's 1533-position model. The record is from RNAcentral.
AGUCGACGGAAGGCCCUUCGGGGUACUCGAGUGGCGAACGGGUGAGUAACACGUGGGUGAUCUGCCCUGCACUUUGGGAUAAGCCUGGGAAACUGGGUCUAAUACCGAAUAUGACCAUGCGCCUCCUGGUGUGUGGUGGAAAGCUUUUGCGGUGUGGGAUGGGCCCGCGGCCUAUCAGCUUGUUGGUGGGGUAAUGGCCUACCAAGGCGACGACGGGUAGCCGGCCUGAGAGGGUGACCGGCCACACUGGGACUGAGAUACGGCCCAGACUCCUACGGGAGGCAGCAGUGGGGAAUAUUGCACAAUGGGCGCAAGCCUGAUGCAGCGACGCCGCGUGAGGGAUGACGGCCUUCGGGUUGUAAACCUCUUUCAGCACAGACGAAGCGCAAGUGACGGUAUGUGCAGAAGAAGGACCGGCCAACUACGUGCCAGCAGCCGCGGUAAUACGUAGGGUCCGAGCGUUGUCCGGAAUUACUGGGCGUAAAGAGCUCGUAGGUGGUUUGUCGCGUUGUUCGUGAAAACUCACAGCUUAACUGUGGGCGUGCGGGCGAUACGGGCAGACUUGAGUACUGCAGGGGAGACUGGAAUUCCUGGUGUAGCGGUGGAAUGCGCAGAUAUCAGGAGGAACACNGGUGGCGAAGGCGGGUCUCUGGGCNNNAACUGACGCUGAGGAGCGAAAGCGUGNNNNNNGAACAGGAUNNNANACCCUGGUAGUCCA